AUUGAACGCUGGCGGCAGGCCUAACACAUGCAAGUCGAGCGGAUGAAGGGAGCUUGCUCCUGGAUUCAGCGGCGGACGGGUGAGUAAUGCCUAGGAAUCUGCCUGGUAGUGGGGGAUAACGUCCGGAAACGGGCGCUAAUACCGCAUACGUCCUGAGGGAGAAAGUGGGGGAUCUUCGGACCUCACGCUAUCAGAUGAGCCUAGGUCGGAUUAGCUAGUUGGUGGGGUAAAGGCCUACCAAGGCGACGAUCCGUAACUGGUCUGAGAGGAUGAUCAGUCACACUGGAACUGAGACACGGUCCAGACUCCUACGGGAGGCAGCAGUGGGGAAUAUUGGACACUGGGCGAAAGCCUGAUCCAGCCAUGCCGCGUGUGUGAAGAAGGUCUUCGGAUUGUAAAGCACUUUAAGUUGGGAGGAAGGGCAGUAAGUUAAUACCUUGCUGUUUUGACGUUACCAACAGAAUAAGCACCGGCUAACUUCGUG
This 484-nucleotide ribosomal RNA is filed under the name uncultured bacterium. RNAcentral's name for it is "partial 16S ribosomal RNA". It matches the Rfam family "Bacterial small subunit ribosomal RNA", at positions 30 to 507 of the family's 1533-position model. The record is from RNAcentral.